This 252-nucleotide ribosomal RNA is filed under the name uncultured bacterium. RNAcentral's name for it is "partial 16S ribosomal RNA". It matches the Rfam family "Bacterial small subunit ribosomal RNA", at positions 524 to 776 of the family's 1533-position model. The record is from RNAcentral.
UACGUAGGGGGCAAGCGUUAUCCGGAUUUACUGGGUGUAAAGGGAGCGUAGACGGCGGUGCAAGCCAGAUGUGAAAGCCCGGGGCUCAACCCCGGCCCGCCGUUGAAACUGGCAGUCUCGAGUUGGAGAGAAGUAUGCGGAAUGCGCGGUGUAGCGGUGAAAUGCAUAGAUAUCGCGCAGAACUCCGAUUGCGAAGGCAGCUCACUGGACUGCAACUGACACUGAGGCUCGAAAGUGUGGGUAUCAAACAGG